RNAcentral lists this long non-coding RNA (1065 nucleotides) under Numida meleagris (helmeted guineafowl). Its description in RNAcentral is "lncRNA (ENSNMEG00000008862.1)". Lineage: Eukaryota; Metazoa; Chordata; Aves; Galliformes; Numididae. The record is from RNAcentral.
GAUUUACCCUGCCAGAGUUGCACAGAUCCUCUUCUAUAAGUGUAAGCCACGGUAGGAACACAGGCCCCUUCCUGUCAGAGCAAAUUCUGCAUUGAUUGUGCCAGUCCUUCAUCACCUAACCUUCUGCAGGUCAUGAGACUAUCUGAACACGGAGGUCUAAGCUGUAUUUUCCAGAUAGAUCUGCCCAGCUUUGUCAACAUGCCAUCUAUGCUCCCACAGCUUGGACAGCCUCGUGUAUGUUGGAGUGGUUACAUGUGUCGCUGCCCACACUGUGUCCACAGAGUGCCACUUGGGUAGAAAUUCUCUGGCCAAGCUGAGAGAGCUGCAUUGCAGGGUCCAAGUCCACCAGCCUCUUCCCAUCUCCCAGCUGUCUCCGUCUUCCUUCCCCUUCUUUCUGGUAAAUCUGCCUCUCAGUAAGAGAAAUGAAUGGCUGCCAUGUUCCCAGAACUUCUAAGGAAGGGCAAUUAUCUUGUUCAAUUCUCUUGCUUUGUGCGAGGGCUGCAGCUGGUGAUGCCCCAACAGGCGAUGCACUGUGGUCUCCUCUGUGCACUCCAUGCGCUCCUUUACCUUUCCAAUGUCAUAGCUUGCCUCACAAUGCUCUCUUCCUUUGAUCCGUCCUGCAGUAAAUCUCUAUCCCCAAGGAGAGUGCUCUGCCUCCUGACCUUUUGGACCAGAUGGGAGGACCAGAUGGUGCCUGGAUCAACUCAAACAAAUCAAAGCAGCUCUGUGAAGGCAGUCUGGUUCGCUGGUUCGCCAUACUAAUGAGACUCAUCCAUCUGCCUCUGUCAUUGCCAGGCUCUCUUUUCUGCUGGAAGUCAGAGAUGAACGCUCAGGACAGGUCCUUUCUAGGCUGCAGUACUUAAUCAUUUCUAAACACGCUAGAUGGCCUCAGGCAGUGAAGGCAACAAGCAUUUAACCCAGGCUUGGCAGCUCAGACUUCCACAUAGUCUGGCUCUAAGCCUUGAUAAUGAAAAGUAGCUGUGCUUUUACUCUCCACUUAACCAGAUGCUCUUUGCUUCUUGGGGCAAAAGGUUAAAUAGAUAUAAGAACCCAUGCUAGUUUUGA